CCUACGGGAGGCAGCAGUGAGGAAUAUUGGUCAAUGGCCGGGAGGCUGAACCAGCCAAGUCGCGUGAGGGAAGACGGCCCUACGGGUUGUAAACCUCUUUUGUCAGGGAGCAAGGUGCAGGUCGGGACCUGCUGUGAGAGUACCUGAAGAAAAAGCAUCGGCUAACUCCGUGCCAGCAGCCGCGGUAAUACGGAGGAUGCGAGCGUUAUCCGGAUUUAUUGGGUUUAAAGGGUGCGCAGGCGGAGGCACAAGUCAGCGGUAAAAUCGCGGGGCUCAACCCCGCUCCGCCGUUGAAACUGUGUGCCUUGAGUGCGCGAAGGGUAGGCGGAAUGCGUGGUGGAGCGGUGAAAUGCAUAGAUAUCACGCAGAACUCCGAUCGCGAAGGCAGCCUACCGGCGCGCAACUGACGCUCAUGCACGAAAGCGUGGGUAUCGAACAGGAUUAGAUACCCGGGUAGUC
RNAcentral lists this ribosomal RNA (459 nucleotides) under uncultured bacterium. RNAcentral describes it as "partial 16S ribosomal RNA". It matches the Rfam family "Bacterial small subunit ribosomal RNA", at positions 338 to 795 of the family's 1533-position model. The record is from RNAcentral.